CCUACGGGAGGCUGCAGUGAGGAAUAUUGGUCAAUGGACGAGAGUCUGAACCAGCCAAGUAGCGUGAAGGAUGACUGCCCUAUGGGUUGUAAACUUCUUUUAUAUGGGAAUAAAACGUUCCACGUGUGGGAUUUUGUAUGUACCAUAUGAAUAAGGAUCGGCUAACUCCGUGCCAGCAGCCGCGGUAAUACGGAGGAUCCGAGCGUUCUCCGGAUUUAUUGGGUUUAAAGGGAGCGUAGGUGGAUUGUUAAGUCAGUUGUGAAAGUUUGCGGCUCAACCGUAAAAUUGCAGUUGAAACUGGCAGUCUUGAGUACAGUAGAGGUGGGCGGAAUUCGUGGUGUAGCGGUGAAAUGCUUAGAUAUCACGAAGAACUCCGAUUGCGAAGGCAGUUCACUGGACUGCAACUGACACUGAGGCUCGAAAGUGUGGGUAUCAAACAGGAUUAGAUACCCUUGUAGUC
Molecule: ribosomal RNA, 460 nt
Filed under: uncultured bacterium
Lineage: Bacteria
Description: partial 16S ribosomal RNA
Rfam family: Bacterial small subunit ribosomal RNA
Source: RNAcentral